GACGAACGCUGGCGGCGUGCUUAACACAUGCAAGUCGAACGGACAGGCCCUGCUUUUGUGGGGUGCUCGUUUGGCGAACGGGUGAGUAACACGUGAGUAACCUGCCCUUGACUUUGGGAUAACUUCAGGAAACUGGGGCUCAUACCGGAUAGGAUCUCCUGCUGCAUGUUGGGGGUUGGAAAGUUUCGGCGGUUGGGGAUGGACUCGCGGCUUAUCAGCUUGUUGGUGGGGUAGUGGCUUACCAAGGCUUUGACGGGUAGCCGGCCUGAGAGGGUGACCGGCCACAUUGGGACUGAGAUACGGCGCAGAAUCCUACGGGAGGCAGCAGGGGAGAAUAUUGCAGAAUGGGCGGAAGCCUGAGGCAGAAACGCCGCGUGCGGGAUGACGGCCUUCGAGGUGUAAACCGAUUUCGCCGGUGACGAAGCGUGAGUGACGGUAAUGGGUAAAGAAGCAACGGCUAACUACGUG
Molecule: ribosomal RNA, 468 nt
Filed under: uncultured bacterium
Lineage: Bacteria
Description: partial 16S ribosomal RNA
Rfam family: Bacterial small subunit ribosomal RNA
Source: RNAcentral